UACCAGACCCUUGGCCACUCAGGA
Molecule: unclassified non-coding RNA, 24 nt
Filed under: Mus musculus (house mouse)
Lineage: Eukaryota; Metazoa; Chordata; Mammalia; Rodentia; Muridae
Description: oocyte_clustered_small_RNA9235
Source: RNAcentral